CUUCAUCAACAGAUAAUGGAAGGCCACUGAAGGCUUUCUGAACAGGAGUAGAAUCUUUUUAUAUUUUAAAACUAGUAGACUACAGUAAGUGAGGAAGAUGGAGGGAUGAAAGACGACAACUUUUGUUCAUUUGUUUGUUUGUUUUGCCUGGGUGACUAUCUGCAUGAUGGUAUCUGCUAGAGAUAGGGAAGUCAGAAGAAAGGGCCAAAUCACUGGAGAAAGAAAAUGCUUUACUUGGACAGUCUGGAUGGGAAGUUCCAGUGAGUCAUCCUGGUGGCAAUGACUGGCAGAUUGUUGGAAAUGGAGGAGCUAAAGCGAGAGAGGCUAAGAAUAGAGAUAUGGAUUUGGGAGUUAGUGGCAAAUAGAGUUAAACUAUGGGAAUGUAUAUGAUGGCCUGAGAAGAAAUUAUAGGAGAAGUAAGAAGGACUAAGGGCUGAGCCUGGGAGACAGGACAUGGAGGGGAAAGGCAGCUGAGAGGAGCCUUGAAGAAGACUGAAGAGGAAUAAUUGCUACUGAGGAGAAGCAAGGCAGUUCAGUGUGAUGGAUGCCAAAAGAUGGAGAAGUCAAGGAGGUGGCCACCUGCUGGAGAGUGCAUGUCUCCACUGCCUUCCUCAACCUCUGCAUGUGGAGUCUGCACUUGACAAGAUCAAUGGCCCAACACCACGUGGAAGCUGCCAAGGCUUGGGGUUUGCACCAUCUGAAGCCAUGGCCUGAACUCUAUGUUAGCCCCUUUCCACCAUAGCUGGAGCUGCUUGGACACAGAGCACCAAGUCCCUAGGCUGCACACAGUCCAGUCAUUCAGCUACAGCCAGUGUGAGGAGCCUUCGACUUCCCAUUUCUUGUGCCCAAGAGCCCCUUGAAGAGGAACCACUGCUGGAACUGCUCACAUCUGGCAUGCCAGUGUCCCUCCAGGGGUGCUACCUCCCAAAGCUUCCAAAGCUGCCAGGCCUCUAGGCAAAGGUGUUCCUUGUUCUGAAGAGGAGAAACAGUAAAAAAUUUGCCAAGGACCCAAGAUAGAAGACUGUGGGCCCAGAUCCUAAUGUAAAAGAAGCCUGCCUCAACUUAAUUUUCCUGGACAGCAAGAGCUAUGAAAAUGAACUGGGUGAAUAUUGGUGUUUUCAGCUUGAGGUUCCAAUGAAUUAGGACAAUCAGAAGGAAGAGUUUAAUUUUGGGGUCUAGCAUGAGACCAUUCAGUUCAAACUUUCAUUUCACAGUUAGGAAACUAGACCCAGAGAGGCACAGUGCUUCGGCUUGAUGCUAAUAGACUGAUUUUGGAAGGCAGUUGAGCUGGAAGACACAGAUCUGGGGGCUGUCAGCCAAGGGCUGAGAAGGAUGUGAAUUAAGAAGGUGGGAAGGGAAUUGAUGGUUAAGGCCUGAGUCUUGAGAGAAACCCAUGGCCAGGAGCAGAGGAGUUAAGAUUCAUUCAGAAAUGCUCCUACAGACGUGGGAGAACAAGGAUUGUUCAGUAUAAUGGAAGCCAAAGGAGAGGGUUUUGAGGAGCAAAAGACUAGCCAACAGUAGCAAUUGUGUCAAGGUGAUCAAGGAAUAAGAUGUAAACAAUUGUUGGAUUUAUAAUAUGAUUUUAAAAGUGCAGUUUCAGUAAAGUGGUAAGAAUGGGAGGACAAUCAAAUGGCACGUGGUGUGUGUGUGUGUGUGUGGAGGUUGUGGUGUGUGUGGGGGGGGAUGUAUGUGUGGAGAGUGUGGCAUGAGAUGCAUGUGCAUAUGUAUGUUUAGGAUGAGGUGUGUGUGGAGAGUGAGAUGUGUGUGUGUAGGAUAUGAGGUGUGU
Molecule: long non-coding RNA, 1786 nt
Filed under: Homo sapiens (human)
Lineage: Eukaryota; Metazoa; Chordata; Mammalia; Primates; Hominidae
Description: HSALNT0294636
Source: RNAcentral